RNAcentral lists this ribosomal RNA (449 nucleotides) under uncultured bacterium. RNAcentral's name for it is "partial 16S ribosomal RNA". It matches the Rfam family "Bacterial small subunit ribosomal RNA", at positions 29 to 523 of the family's 1533-position model. The record is from RNAcentral.
AAUGAACGCUGGCGGCAGGCCUAACACAUGCAAGUCGAACGGGUCCUUCGGGACUAGUGGCGGACGGGUGAGUAACGCGUGGGAACGUGCCCCUUGGUACGGAAUAGCCCCGGGAAACUGGGAGUAAUACCGUAUGUGGUCGAGAGACGAAAGAUUUAUCGCCAAGGGAUCGGCCCGCGUUGGAGUAGGUAGUUGGUGGGGUAAUGGCCUACCAAGCCGACGAUCCAUAGCUGGUUUGAGAGGAUGAUCAGCCACACUGGGACUGAGACACGGCCCAGACUCCUACGGGAGGCAGCAGUGGGGAAUCUUAGACAAUGGGGGAAACCCUGAUCUAGCCAUGCCGCGUGAUCGAUGAAGGCCUUAGGGUUGUAAAGAUCUUUCAGGUGGGAAGAUAAUGACUGUACCACCAGAAGAAGCCCCGGCUAACUCCGUGCCAGCAGCCGCCGUAA